AUGUUGACGCGGAAGCAGGACGGCAUCCCGCCGGCUUUCGUGCACGACCUGCACCGCGAGGACCAAACGCUCCAGGAGCGCUCCAUGUGCGGCUGCGGCAGCCAAUCGCCGGAGCACGGGACGACGGGUCAGCGCACCGAAGAGGAGCGCGACGCCUCCAUCAUCUGCCACGUCCACCACGCCCUCCGCCACUACAACGCCACCAACCCGGGCUCGGAGUUCGUCCCCGUCAAGCCUCUCAUGGCCGCGUACGUGGGUUUCCAAAGCCACAUCUGGGUCCACGUCAACUUCGUGGCUCGCAGGAAGAAGAUCGCCAGCAGCAAACGGAGGCGCAACCAGGCCAACGACACGGACAAGACCUUCUUCGCCGAGCUGCGCUACAGCCACCACCACUCCAGCGCGCCGGCCGUCGAAACAUGCGCCAUCAUCGAGAAGUCGUCGCGCAAAAGUCACUUGAAGACCGCAUGUGCAUUUUGCCCUGAGAGCUUUCAGAUUUUGCACCCACUUGACGGGAGCUUCCUGUGCGGAAAGAAGAGCCAGGCAAACGAAGGGCAGGGUUUCAUACAUUUCAUGAACCUGCUUGAGUUGCCGUUCACAUGCCCCACGGCCAAUGGAGAGGGCAAGGAGGAUGUGGCAGCUCUAGAAGAGGAGGAGGAGGAGGAACAUAGUAGCGCCCCGAGCUGGGCCGCCCUCCCCUUCCAUUUUCUCGGUAAUCUUAUCACAGGGGUUUUGCCGGCCUUUGAUGCGUAUGGACUAGAUCAGGGGCAAAGCUAG
This 774-nucleotide ribosomal RNA is filed under the name Triticum aestivum (bread wheat). Its description in RNAcentral is "partial small subunit ribosomal RNA". Lineage: Eukaryota; Viridiplantae; Streptophyta; Magnoliopsida; Poales; Poaceae. The record is from RNAcentral.